Erigeron canadensis is the source of this 463-nucleotide long non-coding RNA. RefSeq lists it as uncharacterized. The record is from RefSeq and is a predicted model, not a curated record. The transcript has 2 exons. NCBI's taxonomy places the organism in Eukaryota, Viridiplantae, Streptophyta, Magnoliopsida, Asterales, Asteraceae.
CUAAGAAAAAAAUCCACAUCUUCAAAAUAAAUAUUCAUCCAUUCAAUAUUAAUAAUAAUUCCGAGUAUUUUAAGCACCACUUGAAUCUUUUAUCAACUUUGUUCUCGAUUCACACUCUCUGUUUCCCUCUUUCUCUCACAUUUUAUGCUUCUCGAUUCACCGAAAUGAUUCCAAAUCAGGUGACUUGUGCGUAACUAGUAGCAGUAAAUGGAUUCCAAAAGAUAGAUUUUUACAUGCUUCUAGAAAAAUCAAGCUUGAUGGCAUUUCUACUUAAAUCAAACAAGUGUGGAUAGUUCGUAGAUCAAAUACAGUAGACAGGGAUAAUACAUCUAGAAGUACUCCCGCUUGUAUCAAAACAUGUGCUUAAUCUUUGUGUUUCUGUAAUUUGUAUGUCCAUUUUGAACAAUUAUGUGUGUUUACUUGUUAAACUUGAAUAAAUCUUGUUUGUGUGACAUUGUUUGUA